RNAcentral lists this long non-coding RNA (246 nucleotides) under Coffea arabica (coffee). RNAcentral's name for it is "long non-coding RNA (CARA_LNC005405)". The record is from RNAcentral. Lineage: Eukaryota; Viridiplantae; Streptophyta; Magnoliopsida; Gentianales; Rubiaceae.
ACUCUCACUUUAAUAAGAUGAUGAAUGAAAAAUGUCCUUUCCAGAGUUAUCAAAAAAUUAGCUAAGGUUCAUGGAAGCGAGAUUAGCAGCAGAGAGAGGCUGGCCGCUGCAGGGAGGUCAGAAGAGUCACAAAGAGAUGCAGCUGAGAAUGUCUACAAAAUGUCUAAUAAUGCAAAUAUUAAAAAUUCAAGUAUACCGAAAUCUCUAGACACAUUAUAAGCUAUGUGAAAGCAGUUGGAUACUGAA